AGUGAACGCUGGCGGUAGGCCUAACACAUGCAAGUCGAACGGCAGCACAGGAGAGCUUGCUCUCUGGGUGGCGAGUGGCGGACGGGUGAGGAAUACAUCGGAAUCUGCCCAGUCGUGGGGGAUAACGUAGGGAAACUUACGCUAAUACCGCAUACGACCUUCGGGUGAAAGAGGGGGAUCGCAAGACCUCUCGCGAUUGGAUGAGCCGAUGUCGGAUUAGCUAGUUGGCGGGGGAAUGGCCCACCAAGGCGACGAACCGUAGCUGGUCUGAGAGGAUGAUCAGCCACACUGGAACUGAGACACGGUCCAGACUCCUACGGGAGGCAGCAGUGGGGAAUAUUGGACAAUGGGCGCAAGCCUGAUCCAGCCAUACCGCGUGGGUGAAGAAGGCCUUCGGGUUGUAAAGCCCUUUUGUUGGGAAAGAAAUCUUUCAGGCUAAUACCCUGGGAGGAUGACGGUACCCAAAGAAUAAGCACCGGCUAACUUCGUG
RNAcentral lists this ribosomal RNA (490 nucleotides) under uncultured bacterium. RNAcentral describes it as "partial 16S ribosomal RNA". It matches the Rfam family "Bacterial small subunit ribosomal RNA", at positions 29 to 507 of the family's 1533-position model. The record is from RNAcentral.